Phyllostomus discolor (pale spear-nosed bat) is the source of this 107-nucleotide small nuclear RNA. Lineage: Eukaryota; Metazoa; Chordata; Mammalia; Chiroptera; Phyllostomidae. The record is from RefSeq and is a predicted model, not a curated record.
GCACUCGCUUCAUCAGUACAUAUACUAAAAUUGGAAUUAUACAGAGAAGAUUAGCAUGGCCCCUGAGCAAGGAUGACACACAAACUUGUGAAGUGUUCCAUAUUUUC